RNAcentral lists this unclassified non-coding RNA (424 nucleotides) under soil metagenome. Its description in RNAcentral is "partial contains 5.8S ribosomal RNA, internal transcribed spacer 2, and large subunit ribosomal RNA". The stretch from base 1 to 120 matches the Rfam family "5.8S ribosomal RNA", at positions 35 to 154 of the family's 154-position model. The record is from RNAcentral.
GAUGAAGAACGUAGCGAAAUGCGAUACGUAAUGUGAAUUGCAGAAUUCAGUGAAUCAUCGAAUCUUUGAACGCAUAUUGCGCUCUCUGGUAUUCCGGAGAGCAUGCUUGUUUGAGUAUCAGUAAACACCUCAACUCCCUUUCUUCUUGAAAUGGAGCUGGAUUUGAGUGAUCCCAACGCUUUAUUCAUAAAGUGGCGGGUUACUUGAAAUGCAGGUGCAGCUGGACUUUUCUCUGAGCUAUAAGCAUAUCUAUUUAGUCUGCCUCAAAACAGAUUAUUACCUUUGCUGCAGCUAACAUAAAGGAGAUUAGUUCUUGUGCUGACUGAUGCAGGAUUCACAAAGACCGCUUCGGCUGUCUUUGUAAACUCGAUCUCAAAUCAAGUAAGACUACCCGCUGAACUUAAGCAUAUCAAUAAGCGGAAGA